Molecule: long non-coding RNA, 2273 nt
Organism: Neopelma chrysocephalum (saffron-crested tyrant-manakin)
Lineage: Eukaryota; Metazoa; Chordata; Aves; Passeriformes; Pipridae
Exons: 2
Source: RefSeq, a predicted model, not a curated record
GGGGUUUUUUGUUUGCAUUUUUUUUGUUGUUGUUGGGGGCUUUUGGGAGUUUUUUCUGUACUGGGCAGAGUUAAUGAUACCUUUUAAAAAUCUGACUUUUCAGUAUCCAUAAAACCUUGGUGAAAAGGAUGCAGUUAAACUGCAAAGUCUUACUCAUGUUAAAACUGGUGGUGGGGGAGGGGGGUGUUGGGGGUGUGCCUGAAUAUGGGGAAAGGACAGGAACAUUUUCUAUUUCCUAAUAUUUUUAUAUUUAAUCAGAGUUAAACCAAGGUUAUUCUACAGCAACUUUGAAAUGUGAUUAAGAAGCAAAAGAGAGAGAGGGUGACUUUUCAAAAUAUCACUUUGUGAUCGGAAUAUUACUAGGGUUGAAUAUGGCAGCUCUUCAGAAGUAUAUUGUACUGUAUUUCAAAAAAUAUAGAUGAGGUCCUUAGAAAUCAGAGCAAUCAAACAAAAAAGCAAGACGUUCUUGAACAAGAACACAUGAGUUUUCUGAUCUCCAGCACAGAGGAGACUGUGCUGGCUGUUGAGUCAGUUAUCAUUUUGCAGUAAAUUCAAUUGUAUCAAUAAAGCUGAGGGAGACAUCAAACAGAAAGCUUUAAAAGCAUAUCUUGGAAGCCUCAAGACAUGCUUAUUGUGUUUGGCUAUGAUACUUUUCAGGAAGGUCUUUUUUUAUCUUAUCUCUGGUUCAAAUUUCAGUUUUACCUUCUUCUUUUUCCUCUUCUCCUUUUUUGUUUUAUUGAAGUCAUGUUCAACAUUAAUAAUAAAAUAUUCAGCCCACCAUCAAAGAGUCCACUUAGUAUCCACUUAGCUAAUAACCCUUUAUUCAGAGGAGCAUAUGGGGGGGUUAUAAAAGAAGGAAAGAAACUGAAUAGAGGGAGGGAGACCUUCCAGAAACCAGGCAAGGGGGCUUUAAAAGAGAUGAAGAUUAUAAUGCAAAUGGUCUCUAGUUCCUAUCCCAGGUGCUGUAGUGAUUAGUGCUGUAGCAAUACAAGUACAACAUGAUGUAACACUGUGUCUGUCUACCUGAGACAAGAUGGGGAUAAGAACCAGAACAAAGGCAGGUAUGUUAGAUGUAGUCCACCUCACAAGAAACAGAUUUCUAUAUUAAAAGUAUUUUCUCUAUCUAUAUUCUCUAAUAAUGUAUAUUAACAGAUUUUUCUACCAGGAAACGCAAACUAUAUUUUAUAUAUGUGCUGUAAUUUUGUUAUACAGUGUUACAAGUCAAAGGGGAACACAGCUUUCACAUACUUCGCUAGGGAAAGGUUUGUGAAGGUAUUGCCUGUCAAUAAUUACAGAAUUCUUUUAUGCUCUAGACACGUUUCUCCAUGUUACAGUAGUUCAUUCUUUGAACAAAAAGAGAUGGAAAAUUCAACAAGUAUGCUAUUUUAAAGGUGACAUUAAGCAAAUCUGGAGUUAGCACUGGUGAUUUCUGUGCACUUACAUUUAGGUUAUCAUCCACUGCUGGUCCGUAAUCAGAAUUUUUCAAAAUUCAGUAUAGAGAUGUGCCAAAAAAUUGGUCUCUCAACAUGGAAAGACUGAAAUGUGUUCAAUGUCUUCUAAGGAUCACUUCUGUCCUUUAUGUUGAGUGCACAGUAAGCAAGCUGAAGUUACUAUAGCUGUGACUUCUUCACCUCAUCUGUUUGAGUUCUCUACCACUCCAAAGCUGCAACUGGCACAAAAUCAAGGGAGGUUUUGUUAUCCACUCAGGGCAGGGCUUUGUCCACAACCUUUGGACAUGAAAAUUAAGCAGGAAAACAGUAUCAGUAGCUGAUAUAUUGAAUGUCUCUACCAGAAUAUAAUUGUUUUCCUCAUUAAUAAGAUACACCUCACAAUAACCCAAAAGUUCUCUAUUAACAGGUAUAGCUAAGGGGCUCAGUCCUAGCCAUAUGCUAUGUUUGAGUGUUCUCAUACAUCAGAGGUAUCAGCCAUCUUUAAUCACUUCAGUAAUCAUUCCUCUCUGCACCCAAGGAUAAUGGGAUCAGUACAUGGAGUCUGGAGCUGGAAAGAUGCAAACAGGCAAGCUAUGUCAGAUAUGAAUACUGUGGAAUAUUCAGUGUAACUUCCUAUUCUUGAAAGGAGGAUCUGGUUGGUAUGAUCCAGUUUUAAAACUGUUGGCUAAUAAGGGCUGCUGUUCCCUUCAGUAAGAGCUCUGCUAAGAGACCACUGUUGAUAUUUUCUGAUAUAUAAUAUUUCUAUAUCAGAACAUAUAAAACUCAAAAGUGACUGCAUACGAGCUAUGUAAAUUAAAAGCAUAAAGCAUGGAAAGUGCUGUA